Quercus lobata is the source of this 2030-nucleotide long non-coding RNA. RefSeq lists it as uncharacterized. The record is from RefSeq and is a predicted model, not a curated record. NCBI's taxonomy places the organism in Eukaryota, Viridiplantae, Streptophyta, Magnoliopsida, Fagales, Fagaceae. The transcript has 4 exons.
UCUCUCAGCUCUCUCAUAUUGAUACCCCCAAACCCCCAAGAUUUUCAUUUCUCUUCUCUCUCUCUGAAAUUUUCUCUCUUCGAAAUUCUCUCUUAGCCCUAGGGUUUCAACUUAAUGAUAAGGUUCAGAUAUUUGUGAACACGAAGAGAUUUCAAGGCCUUCGAGUUAAUCAAAAUAUUGAUUGGUUGCGCUGGAGUGUGAAGUUUGGGUCGAACUUGGCUUCUGGGCUUUGUUAAAGCUGGUUUGUAUGGAAUGAAGAUAUCAUUUUUGCGUCUUCAGGAAAGGAGGUCCAGUGUUUUGAUGUGCAUAUGAUUGCAUGAAGUCGUCUUUUCUUGGUGCUGUAGAUGAUGGUGGUGAUGUUAAGGUACUUAUGAUGUUUUGACUCACUGGAUCGUGGGUGGCAAGAGUAGGGUGGUUCAGGGGAGACAAUUGCCCUCUGCCCCACAAACAAAAAAGAAAAAAAGAAAAAAAAAAUCAUGUCCUUCUAGAAAAACCUAUGAAAAACAUAUUUGAUCCACCCCAAACAAGUCUUGCCUUGCCCCAACUAAUAGUAAGAAUCAUGUUGCAUCACCCACAUUUCUUGAGAAUCUGUUAGAAUUAUUAUUCGGGUUUUGAGAUUAUGAUUUGCCAUAUUUUUUUCAUGGAAAAUCAUAUAAUCUAGGCUUUUGAUUGAGAGGAAUUAAUCAACAAAAGCACACUCUCACUGUGUUUCCAAUUGGGAUUUUUCUCAUCUCUUUCUCUUUCCCUUACUGUGUGUUUGGGUAAAAAAAACCUUUAUGGGAGGAGCUAGAAUUUUAGAGACAGAAAUCCUAGGUCUCUUCCACACUUACCCUAUCAAAAUUCACUGUUUCACAUCCACCCACACUUAUGCUAUCAAAAUUGACAUUUUCAACAAGGCAAAGGGCUGAGUUUUCAAAGAGAAACUCCACCCACACUUACGCUAUCAAAAUUCACAUUUUCAAAGAGAAACUCCACAAUGUCCACAGUUAUUAACCCAUAGAUAUUGAAUUCUAAUUUGAAUGUAGAGAUUUGGCACAUGAGUAUAUGUUUGUGCAGUACAAAUUUGAUGCAAUAUUUGCAGCUCAUGUCCAAGCUUAUGAAAUUAUAGGUUUUCUUGUCUUCUUCACUUAAUUUGAGUGGUUGGUUAAAGAUUCAAGUAUAAUUAAUUAUGCGGGUGAUAAAUCAUGUCUAAUAUAGUGUGUUUUUAUUGAGUUUAUGACUUUAUGCUGAGGUCGUUGUACUAUUGUAGAAUUUGAGCAGCAAAAAAUGUAUAAAGGUGCAAUUGGCUAAAGAGUGGUCAAGGUAACUUUUUUAUAUAUAUCUUCAAAUAAAUAUCACUUUUGAUGAUGGGAGAAAUCUUAUUAAGAAUUAUACCAUAUGCAUAUCCAUUUUAACAGAAAUUUUGUUUAGUGUGUUUCCAUCCUGGUUUGGUUUCAGGGUUUUGCAACUAAGAAUUUGGCAAAGUAACUUUUGGAUUAAAAAUUUAUAAAUUGAAUAUAAUAGGCUAACCAUGCUAAUAAAGCUUAAACUAUAUACUAGUAAUUCAGGUAGAAGUUGCUCCUUGAUGCAAUGACUUUAGCAUGUAUUAUAAAUAACUUUAAUGUUGUUACACUUGCUAGCUGUUCCCUUUGUACAAUUUCAUGUGUUCUGGUUUUGUGAUGAGAACUGUCCUAGCUCCUUAAUUUUUUUGUUAGUUUCUUGCUUUUAAUGCAACUUGGUCAUCCUGUGUUGGCAGAACUGUAGAUACAUGUGACCUUUCUUGGAUUUCAUUUCUGUUUGUGGGGAAUGUGGAGUUCGGUAGCAGGCUUAUUAUAUGGCGCGCUAUGUUUGCCAGUUGCUAUACUGCUAAUGGUUAUGCUAUAUUUCACCGGCUUUGUAGAAUGUGUGUAAAUGAAGUAGUGGAUGCCUUACAAUGAUUUAUUUCCUGAUCUAUAUGAGAAACCUGUAUGCCUUUAUCAAAUCCAAGGAAUUGUAAAUCUAUGUAAAAGUCUGAUGUUUGGAAUUUUUUUGCCCUUGCUUGAACUUAUUCA